This 153-nucleotide small nucleolar RNA is filed under the name Nannospalax galili (Upper Galilee mountains blind mole rat). Its description in RNAcentral is "Small nucleolar RNA SNORA5 (ENSNGAG00000002705.1)". It matches the Rfam family "Small nucleolar RNA SNORA5". From Rfam's summary of the family: ACA5 is a member of the H/ACA class of snoRNA that guide the sites of modification of uridines to pseudouridines. The record is from Rfam by way of RNAcentral. Lineage: Eukaryota; Metazoa; Chordata; Mammalia; Rodentia; Spalacidae.
UGUAUUUUCUUCCUUCUUUAUAUAGUUCUAUAUUUUACAAAAGCAAUCCAGAGGAGGAGGAGAAGGAGGAGGAGGAGUGCCAUAGGAACACUGUAACUCAUGGCCCCUGAACCCCUUGCCUGGGCUCAGGGAUAAAUUUGAUCACAGACAUAA